UGUGAACUCGAAGAGUAGGGCGGGACACGUGGUAUCCUGUCUGAAUAUGGGGGGACCAUCCUCCAAGGCUAAAUACUCCUGACUGACCGAUAGUGAACCAGUACCGUGAGGGAAAGGCGAAAAGAACCCCGGCGAGGGGAGUGAAAAAGAACCUGAAACCGUGUACGUACAAGCAGUGGGAGCACCUUCGGGUGUGACUGCGUACCUUUUGUAUAAUGGGUCAGCGACUUAUAUUCUGUAGCAAGGUUAACCGUAUAGGGGAGCCGCAGGGAAACCGAGUCUUAACUGGGCGUUAAGUUGCAGGGUAUAGACCCGAAACCCGGUGAUCUAGCCAUGGGCAGGUUGAAGGUUGGGUAACACUAACUGGAGGACCGAACCGACUAAUGUUGAAAAAUUAGCGGAUGACUUGUGGCUGGGGGUGAAAGGCCAAUCAAACCGGGAGAUAGCUGGUUCUCCCCGAAAGCUAUUUAGGUAGCGCCUCGUGAACUCAUCUUCGGGGGUAGAGCACUGUUUCGGCUAGGGGGUCAUCCCGACUUACCAACCCGAUGCAAACUACGAAUACCGAAGAAUGUUAUCACGGGAGACACACGGCGGGUGCUAACGUCCGUCGUGAAGAGGGAAACAACCCAGACCGCCAGCUAAGGUCCCAAAGUCAUGGUUAAGUGGGAAACGAUGUGGGAAGGCACAGACAGCCAGGAUGUUGGCUUAGAAGCAGCCAUCAUUUAAAGAAAGCGUAAUAGCUCACUGGUCGAGUCGGCCUGCGCGGAAGAUGUAACGGGGCUAAACCAUGCACCGAAGCUGCGGCAGCGACACUAUGUGUUGUUGGGUAGGGGAGCGUUCUGUAAGCCUGCGAAGGUGACCUGUGAGGGUUGCUGGAGGUAUCAGAAGUGCGAAUGCUGACAUAAGUAACGAUAAAGCGGGUGAAAAGCCCGCUCGCCGGAAGACCAAGGGUUCCUGUCCAACGUUAAUCGGGGCAGGGUGAGUCGACCCCUAAGGCGAGGCCGAAAGGCGUAGUCGAUGGGAAACAGGUUAAUAUUCCUGUACUUGGUGUUACUGCGAAGGGGGGACGGAGAAGGCUAUGUUAGCCGGGCGACGGUUGUCCCGGUUUAAGCAUGUAGGCUGGUUGUCCAGGCAAAUCCGGAUAAUCAAGGCUGAGGUGUGAUGACGAGGCACUACGGUGCUGAAGUAACAAAUGCCCUGCUUCCAGGAAAAGCCUCUAAGCAUCAGGUAACAUCAAAUCGUACCCCAAACCGACACAGGUGGUCAGGUAGAGAAUACCAAGGCGCUUGAGAGAACUCGGGUGAAGGAACUAGGCAAAAUGGUGCCGUAACUUCGGGAGAAGGCACGCUGGUGUGUAGGUGAAGUCCCUGCGGAUGGAGCUGAGACCAGUCGAAGAUACCAGCUGGCUGCAACUGUUUAUUAAAAACACAGCACUGUGCAAACACGAAAGUGGACGUAUACGGUGUGACGCCUGCCCGGUGCCGGAAGGUUAAUUGAUGGGGUUAUCCGUAAGGAGAAGCUCUUGAUCGAAGCCCCGGUAAACGGCGGCCGUAACUAUAACGGUCCUAAGGUAGCGAAAUUCCUUGUCGGGUAAGUUCCGACCUGCACGAAUGGCGUAAUGAUGGCCAGGCUGUCUCCACCCGAGACUCAGUGAAAUUGAACUCGCUGUGAAGAUGCAGUGUACCCGCGGCAAGACGGAAAGACCCCGUGAACCUUUACUAUAGCUUGACACUGAACAUUGAGCCUUGAUGUGUAGGAUAGGUGGGAGGCUUUGAAGCGUGGACGCCAGUCUGCGUGGAGCCAACCUUGAAAUACCACCCUUUAAUGUUUGAUGUUCUAACGUUGGCCCCUGACCGGGGUUGCGGACAGUGUCUGGUGGGUAGUUUGACUGGGGCGGUCUCCUCCCAAAGCGUAACGGAGGAGCACGAAGGUUAGCUAAUCCUGGUCGGACAUCAGGAGGUUAGUGCAAUGGCAUAAGCUAGCUUGACUGCGAGCGUGACGGCGCGAGCAGGUGCGAAAGCAGGUCAUAGUGAUCCGGUGGUUCUGAAUGGAAGGGCCAUCGCUCAACGGAUAAAAGGUACUCCGGGGAUAACAGGCUGAUACCGCCCAAGAGUUCAUAUCGACGGCGGUGUUUGGCACCUCGAUGUCGGCUCAUCACAUCCUGGGGCUGAAGUAGGUCCCAAGGGUAUGGCUGUUCGCCAUUUAAAGUGGUACGCGAGCUGGGUUUAGAACGUCGUGAGACAGUUCGGUCCCUAUCUGCCGUGGGCGCUGGAGAAUUGAGGGGGGCUGCUCCUAGUACGAGAGGACCGGAGUGGACGCAUCACUGGUGUUCGGGUUGUCAUGCCAAUGGCACUGCCCGGUAGCUAAAUGCGGAAGAGAUAAGUGCUGAAAGCAUCUAAGCACGAAACUUGCCCCGAGAUGAGUUCUCCCUGAGACUUUAAGUCUCCUGAAGGAACGUUGAAGACGACGACGUUGAUAGGCCGGGUGUGUAAGCGCAGCGAUGCGUUGAGCUAACCGGUACUAAUGAACCGUGAGGCUUAACCUUACAACGCCGAAG
Molecule: ribosomal RNA, 2557 nt
Filed under: Klebsiella pneumoniae
Lineage: Bacteria; Pseudomonadati; Pseudomonadota; Gammaproteobacteria; Enterobacterales; Enterobacteriaceae
Description: bacterial LSU rRNA
Rfam family: Bacterial large subunit ribosomal RNA
Source: RNAcentral